This 410-nucleotide long non-coding RNA is filed under the name Rattus norvegicus (Norway rat). RNAcentral describes it as "long non-coding RNA NONRATT027749". Lineage: Eukaryota; Metazoa; Chordata; Mammalia; Rodentia; Muridae. The record is from RNAcentral.
GAACCAACUGGUAACAGGUCAUUUGGUCCACUAGGCGCUCCCAGCAAGAGCCCGAACCUCCAGGGGUGCAGAAUACUCUGUCAGACCAGGCAAGAUUGGGAAGAAGAGCUGGAGCAUGGAAUCCCAGGCCUCUGAGAAUGGAAGCCAGACCUCCUCCGGGGUGACAGAUGACUACAGCAGCUGGUACAUCGAGGAACCUCUAGGAGCUGAGGAGGUGCAGCCAGCCCACUGUACCGCCUGCCCUGCACCAUGCCUGCUUGGCCUCACUGUCGCUCCUGGCUCUGCUGCUGCUGGCCUUACUGGUGAGACGUCGCAGGCUUUGGCCACACUGUGCUCAUUGCAGACCUGGACUGCCCAGCCCUGUGGAUUUCUUGGCUGGGAACCGAUCCUGGACAGUUCCUACUGCUGUC